Cebus imitator (Panamanian white-faced capuchin) is the source of this 149-nucleotide long non-coding RNA. RefSeq lists it as uncharacterized. The transcript has 3 exons. The record is from RefSeq and is a predicted model, not a curated record. Lineage: Eukaryota; Metazoa; Chordata; Mammalia; Primates; Cebidae.
UUGUCUACAAACAGGGACAGUUUGGUUUCCCUCCCCCUAUUGGAAUGCUCUUUAUUUCUUUCUCUUGUAUGAUUGCUCUGGUCAGAACUUUCAAUAUUAUGUUGGAUAGGAAUUGUGAAGAGGGCAUCCUUGUCUGGUGCCAGUUUUCA